CCGGAAGAUCGGGCGGUCGCGGUGCGCUGAAAAAUGCGUAUUGAGGAAAGUCCGGGCUUCACGGAAACACGAUACCGGAUAACGUCCGGCUGGGGAGACCCAAGGGAAAGCGCAGCAGAAAAAAUUCCGCCGAUGUCUUCGGACAGGCAAGGUUGAAAUGGUGCGGUAAGAGCGCACCGCUUUUCCGGCGACGGAAAAGGCACG
RNAcentral lists this RNase P RNA (204 nucleotides) under Alphaproteobacteria bacterium. RNAcentral describes it as "partial RNase P RNA component class A". It matches the Rfam family "Bacterial RNase P class A", at positions 1 to 205 of the family's 367-position model. Rfam says of the family: Ribonuclease P (RNase P) is a ubiquitous endoribonuclease, found in archaea, bacteria and eukarya as well as chloroplasts and mitochondria. Its best characterised activity is the generation of mature 5'-ends of tRNAs by cleaving the 5'-leader elements of precursor-tRNAs. Cellular RNase Ps are ribonucleoproteins. The record is from RNAcentral. Lineage: Bacteria; Pseudomonadati; Pseudomonadota; Alphaproteobacteria.